RNAcentral lists this ribosomal RNA (1372 nucleotides) under uncultured bacterium. Its description in RNAcentral is "bacterial SSU rRNA". It matches the Rfam family "Bacterial small subunit ribosomal RNA", at positions 28 to 1381 of the family's 1533-position model. The record is from RNAcentral.
GAUGAACGCUGGCGGCGUGCCUAAUACAUGCAAGUCGAGCGAACGGACGAGAAGCUUGCUUCUCUGAUGUUAGCGGCGGACGGGUGAGUAACACGUGGAUAACCUACCUAUAAGACUGGGAUAACUUCGGGAAACCGGAGCUAAUACCGGAUAAUAUUUUGAACCGCAUGGUUCAAAAGUGAAAGACGGUCUUGCUGUCACUUAUAGAUGGAUCCGCGCUGCAUUAGCUAGUUGGUAAGGUAACGGCUUACCAAGGCAACGAUGCAUAGCCGACCUGAGAGGGUGAUCGGCCACACUGGAACUGAGACACGGUCCAGACUCCUACGGGAGGCAGCAGUAGGGAAUCUUCCGCAAUGGGCGAAAGCCUGACGGAGCAACGCCGCGUGAGUGAUGAAGGUCUUCGGAUCGUAAAACUCUGUUAUUAGGGAAGAACAUAUGUGUAAGUAACUGUGCACAUCUUGACGGUACCUAAUCAGAAAGCCACGGCUAACUACGUGCCAGCAGCCGCGGUAAUACGUAGGUGGCAAGCGUUAUCCGGAAUUAUUGGGCGUAAAGCGCGCGUAGGCGGUUUUUUAAGUCUGAUGUGAAAGCCCACGGCUCAACCGUGGAGGGUCAUUGGAAACUGGAAAACUUGAGUGCAGAAGAGGAAAGUGGAAUUCCAUGUGUAGCGGUGAAAUGCGCAGAGAUAUGGAGGAACACCAGUGGCGAAGGCGACUUUCUGGUCUGUAACUGACGCUGAUGUGCGGAAGCGUGGGGAUCAAACAGGAUUAGAUACCCUGGUAGUCCACGCCGUAAACGAUGAGUGCUAAGUGUUAGGGGGUUUCCGCCCCUUAGUGCUGCAGCUAACGCAUUAAGCACUCCGCCUGGGGAGUACGACCGCAAGGUUGAAACUCAAAGGAAUUGACGGGGACCCGCGCAAGCGGUGGAGCAUGUGGUUUAAUUCGAAGCAACGCGAAGAACCUUACCAAAUCUUGACAUCCUUUGACAACUCUAGAGAUAGAGCUUUCCCCUUCGGGGGACAAAGUGACAGGUGGUGCAUGGUUGUCGUCAGCUCGUGUCGUGAGAUGUUGGGUUAACUCCCGCAACGAGCGCAACCCUUAAGCUUAGUUGCCAUCAUUAAGUUGGGCACUCUAAGUUGACUGCCGGUGACAAACCGGAGGAAGGUGGGGAUGACGUCAAAUCAUCAUGCCCCUUAUGAUUUGGGCUACACACGUGCUACAAUGGACAAUACAAAGGGCAGCGAAACCGCGAGGUCAAGCAAAUCCCAUAAAGUUGUUCUCAGUUCGGAUUGUAGUCUGCAACUCGACUACAUGAAGCUGGAAUCGCUAGUAAUCGUAGAUCAGCAUGCUACGGUGAAUACGUUCCCGGGUCU